AUUUUCCUCCACAAAGCGGCAAACGCACACAGUCACCUCCAAACAACGAUCACUUUCGGAUUCGGCUUUGAGUGACCCGCCAUUGCUACGACGGACGGCAGAGGUAUGAGCUACAGAGAGGGGCGCAUUCGUUCGAGGCAUUCCAUCUCUCCACGCUCUUGCUCAGGCACACCCUGGCACAGACACGCGCAUAUACGCUCAAGCAACAGAGGGCCGUUCGCACGCCUGCCCGCGGAUACAUAGAGAGAAAGAGCGGCACAAAGGUAAUAGUACAAAACAUAAAAACAAGGGGCUCUGCUUCUUGGUAUUCUGGGGGUUUGACCAAGCCGGUGUGCAAUGCAGCCUUCUGCGAACCAUACUAUUUCUGCGUCCCGGCUUAGCGCUGUUUUGGCGCAGUGGCGGGCUGCUGCUGCCCGUGGAGACGCAGCGGCGAAGCAGUGCUCGGCGUGGGCUUGUGUCUUUGGCGAGCGUAGCGUCAACACUCCCGAUAACCAGCGUGGGCAGGCGAUCCUUCAGUACCUCCUGGAGGCGAAAGAGCCGGUAUGCAACACCGCCGUGCUCAUCACGGAGGAUGUGACGCUCAUUCUUCACGGUGCAGGCGUGCGCGUUGCGGCGCCGCUGACAAAGCUCGAGGGUCAUACCAUCGAGGUGGUCGAGGGGGUCGAGGCGGCACAGGCGCGAGCCACUGCCCUGCUCGCCGGAAAGACGGUUGGUGCCCCGGUUAACGAGUUUGCAAUUCAGGAGGGCCCAUUUGCGUCAGCCUUCACUGAGCUCGUGCGCGGAGCCGUGCCCAGCGAGUCGCUUCUAUCGGCUGCCCCUGUGCUGGGUGAGCUGCUUUUUGUGAAGGAUGAUGCCGCUCUCGGUUGCGUCGAGAAGGCCGCGGGGCUGUGCUGCGCCGUCUUUCGCCGUUAUGCCCGCGACUGCAUUGCGAACGAGAUGUCGAAGAGAGACCCCAAAACUCUCUACGAUGUGCGCCAGAUGCUGUACGCCAAGCUGGAGCGACCCAACACAAUUCAGGCACUCGAGUCGCUCGCGGUGGACGAUUUUUCUCUCGUCACCGGACUGCCGCCGUGUCUCUUCCACAAGGGCACGUACAACUCACAGCUUAACGUGGACGAGGACACCCUCAAGGCGGCGUGCAAUGUUCCGAUUCACGGGGAUGUGGUUGUGGUCCGAUUUGGCGUCAAGAACACAGGCUACACCGCCUUCUUUGGCCGCACGCUACUGGUGGUGUCGGCAGCACCGUCGAACGCGAAAGAAGCGUAUCAGUUCGCCUACGAUGUGAGCGCGAAGCUCAUGGAGCUCCUUGUCCCUGGCGCGCGGCUGAGCGACGUGUACGCUGGCGCCAUGCAGUACGCGACGAACCAGAACUCUGACCUGGCCGUGCUCCUAGUGAAAAACUUUGGUUUCUCUACGGGCCUUCUCGUCCUCGAGGCACGCGGAACCAUUUCGGAGAAGGGUACCGCGAUCGUCGCCGACGGGAUGAGCUUCGUGAUACGCGUCGUGCUCGAAUCUGUCCCCAGCGCAGGCGGUAAGGACACGUUUGACAUGGAGCUCACCGACACGGUAAUCAUACGCGGCGGUGUGGCGGAGCUCAAGACAAAGGUGGCGCGCAAACUGGCAGAGGUUCUCUACGAAGACCUCGAUGAAACGGCCGCCGCGACGGAGGCCGCACAGCAGGUGCGGCGUGACUUAAGCAAGAUCACUCGUCAGGGUCAGUCCGACACCGUGAUGAUCUCGCGCGAGGCGCAGCGUGAGCAGGAGCUGCGGCAGCUCCUCAGCGAGCUGCACGCAGAAUUCGUGGCGGCAGGUGGCAAAAAAGGGACGCAGAUCUCGACGGAGGAGUACCGCGCAUGCGACAUUGGCCGCCUGUCGCUUGGCGAGCUGACUCCUUACAAGCCGGAGGACCGGGUGCCGCCGCCGGAGAGCAAGGGCGGAAUCUUUGUGCAGACGGACAAGAAGGUUGUGUGGCUCCCGGUAUGCGGCCGCGCCGUGCCCUUUCACGCGUCGACAGUGAACAGGGUGGAUGUCAAGACUGAGGGCGGCAAGUACACUAUGACAGUCACAUUCCAUGCCAUGCAGGAGGCCAACGUGGGCUACAAACUGAACCCCACCAAGGUGUUCGUGAAGGAGCUGGGGUACUCGAGCUCGAGGGAUGUGUUCACGGACUCUGCAAUCGCUAUUCAAGGCAUUCAGCAACGCAUCAAGAACGAGGACGCUGCCCGAAAGCGUGCCCUCACCUCUGCCUCCAACGGGAGGCUGACAGUGACGCCCAAUCCGCUGCGUCUCCCGACAGUGAAGAUUCGCCCGCCGAUCACGAACGCGAACCGUCAAAACAAGGGCUGCGUGGGCAAUCUCGAGCUGCAUGCGAACGGGCUGCGUUUCUCAUUUCUCGGGGGUACCCCAAUUGACAUGCUGUUCGAAAACAUCAAGCACGUCAUUUUUCAACCUGCAGUGAAGAGCAUCUACGUUAUUUACCACGUUACGCUGAAAAAGCCGAUCGAGAUCAACCGCAAAAACGUGCUGGAGGUUCAGUUCGUGGCAGAGGUGAUGGAGAGCAGCGAGCUCGCGAGUGCUGCUCGGAGAUCGUUCGAAGAGGAGGUCCAGGCAGAGGAGCGCGAUGAGAUGCGCAUCCGGCAGACAAACAAGCAGUUCAUCACCUUUGCCCACGCCGUGGAAGAGCGAAGCAAGAUCAAGACGCAGCUGCCUACAAACCAGUUCUCCUUCGAUGGCGUUCACGCUCGCUCCAUGACCAUGUUCAAAGGCAAUCGCGAGGUCCUCUGGGCUAUCACCGACACCCCAGCCUUCACACAGAGCGUCGACGAGGUCGAGGUGGUCUCCUUUGAGCGCAUUAUCCCAGGCAGCGCUACGUUCGACAUGUCGCUCAUCCUGAAGGACUACAACAAGCCGGUCAUCACCAUCAACUCGAUCCCGCGCGACUCGCUGGAAAACAUUAAGGAUUGGUGCCUGAGUGCACGGCUCUACUACAUGGAGACUACUGUGAACCCCAACUGGCGAGCCACGAUGAAGGAGAUCCGCGAAGACCCCGACUGGGACCCGUGGCUACGCGGGGACGGCUGGUCGGUUCUCAACAACGUGACGAACGACGAGGAGGAAGAGGAGGAGGACGACGAUUCCGACUCGGACUCGACGUACUACGAGGAUGACGAUGAGACCUCCGAUUCCGACGACAGCUCCUGGCUCGAGGACGAGGAGAGUGACCCGUCGUCAGGCAGCGACGAGAGCGACGAGUCCAGCGCCGCCAGCUGGGACGAGCUGGAGCGUCGAGCAGCCGCCAAAGACCGUCAGAGGGACUUCAGCGACGACGACGACUACCACCCACGUAAGCGGCAGCGUGCCGGUGCCGCGACACCUGCGCUACCGGCCGCGCCCGCUACGCGACCCUCAAAGGUGCCGCUGAACAUGGCUGGGCGCGCAGGCGGCGGCGCUGUUCCGCCGGCUCGCCGAUUCUAGGACCGUUCCGGCGCAGUGGACGGUAUUGUGUGUGCGUGCAUGGGUGAAUGAAAGCGCCGACGUGGUAUUGGUCAAGCUUUCCUCGUUACUCAUACGAUGUGCCUGUGCACUACUGCGUAGGGGCGCUGAUACGUAGCGCAUUCACAUAGCCCCACAAGUGCGCCUAUUGGUGACGAAGCAGGAGCCGCUCGGGUAGGCAGAGGUGAGACUGCUGGGAAUGGUGGUGCCAUGCCUCUAGCAUUUCUGCGUUAACUGUGCGCAUGAGCGUGACAGGGCCUAUUGCUGUUGUGUUUUUUUUAUUCAUUUUCCUAUCCGCCUUGGUUCUCUCGCAUAGAUAAAUCAGUGGACGGUUGUAAACGAAGAGCGUCUUGCAGCGGAGCAAGAAGAAGGAGUGGAAUGUGACAGAUGUGUUGAGGGAAUAUGCGGUCUAUCGGUCAAGAUGCAAAG
This 3921-nucleotide unclassified non-coding RNA is filed under the name Leishmania donovani. RNAcentral describes it as "gene:LdHU3.29.0030(CDS-product:misc_RNAion_factor -like_protein)". Lineage: Eukaryota; Euglenozoa; Kinetoplastea; Trypanosomatida; Trypanosomatidae. The record is from RNAcentral.